Molecule: ribosomal RNA, 301 nt
Filed under: uncultured bacterium
Lineage: Bacteria
Description: partial 16S ribosomal RNA
Rfam family: Bacterial small subunit ribosomal RNA
Source: RNAcentral
CAGUAGCCACGGUAACACGUAGGAGGCGAGCGUUGUCCGAAGUUACUGGGCGUAAAGAGCGCGUAGGCGGGUUCUUAAGUGAGGGGUGAAAGUCCGAGGCUCAACCUCGGAACUGCCUUUCAUACUGGGAACCUUGAGUGCGGGAGAGGCGAGUGGAAUGGUCGGUGUAGCGGUGAAAUGCGUAGAUAUCGAUCGGAACACCCAUGGCGAAGGCAGCUCGCUGGCCUGUAACUGACGCUGAGGCGCGAAAGCGUGGGGAGCAAACAGGAUUAGAUACCCCCGUAGUCCCUGUCUCUUAUAC